GACGAACGCUGGCGGCGUGCUUAACACAUGCAAGUCGAACGGAAAGGCCCUGCUUUUGUGGGUUGCUCGAGUGGCGAACGGGUGAGUAACACGUGAGUAACCUGCCCUUGACUUUGGGAUAACUUCAGGAAACUGGGGCUACUACCGGAUAGGAGCUCCUGCCGCAUGGUGGGGGUUGGAAAGUUUCGGCGGUUGGGGAUGGACUCGCGGCUUAUCAGCUUGUUGGUGGGGUAGUGGCUUACCAAGGCUUUGACGGGUAGCCGGCCUGGGAGGGUGACCGGCCACAUUGGGACUGAGAUACGGCCCAGACUCCUACGGGAGGCAGCAGUGGGGAAUAUUGCACAAUGGGCGGAAGCCUGAUGCAGCAACGCCGCGUGCGGGAUGACGGCCUUCGGGUUGUAAACCGCUUUCGCCUGUGACGAAGCGUGAGUGACGGUAAUGGGUAAAGAAGCACCGGCUAACUACGUG
RNAcentral lists this ribosomal RNA (468 nucleotides) under uncultured bacterium. RNAcentral describes it as "partial 16S ribosomal RNA". It matches the Rfam family "Bacterial small subunit ribosomal RNA", at positions 28 to 507 of the family's 1533-position model. The record is from RNAcentral.